RNAcentral lists this ribosomal RNA (431 nucleotides) under uncultured bacterium. Its description in RNAcentral is "bacterial SSU rRNA". It matches the Rfam family "Bacterial small subunit ribosomal RNA", at positions 29 to 506 of the family's 1533-position model. The record is from RNAcentral.
ACGAACGCUGGCGGCAUGCCUAACACAUGCAAGUCGAACGAGACCUUCGGGUCUAGUGGCGCACGGGUGCGUAACGCGUGGGAAUCUGCCCUUGGGUUUGGAAUAACAGUUAGAAAUGACUGCUAAUACCGGAUGAUGUCUUCGGACCAAAGAUUUAUCGCCCAGGGAUGAGCCCGCGUAGGAUUAGGUAGUUGGUGGGGUAAAGGCCUACCAAGCCGACGAUCCUUAGCUGGUCUGAGAGGAUGAUCAGCCACACUGGGACUGAGACACGGCCCAGACUCCUACGGGAGGCAGCAGUGGGGAAUAUUGCGCAAUGGAGGAAACUCUGACGCAGCGAUGCCGCGUGGGUGAAUAAGGCCUUAGGGUUGUAAAGCCCUUUCAGUGGGAAAGAUGAUGACGGUACCCACAGAAGAAGCCCCGGCUAACUCCGU